GGCGGGCGGCCCGGCCCUACCCGGCCCCCGCGGCCGCAUCUUCCCGGGGCAGCGGCCCCGCGCGCGGUUGCUACGGUGCGGUGCCAGAAAAGGUUCGCCCGCCCCCGAGACCGCGCGAGAGACAGGCAGAAGGGAGCUCCUGUUCGCUUGUCACUCCCGCAACGACAAAGUUUGACGUCGCCGCAUCAUGUCCCCUCCUGAGCAGACGUUUGAUCUUGCCUCUUAGCUUGGGCUGGGCUGGCUCAUGGUGAGACCCAAAGCUGAGCAUCACCUACACAGAGAGCUAGUUUACAAGAAGAAUUGACUCCAGGGUACUCUGGCAGUUCCAUGUCUAUGAUGUAGUCAUCAGAGUUGCAAAGGGCUCCAGGAAGCUUUCGGGCCAAGGAAAGGGCAGCAGGCUUGGAGAGCGCUCGCGGGCCUUGAUAUUUGACCUGUAAAAUUGAGGCCCUGGGCUCGACCAAAGCUCUGAACCUGGCUGCAGUUUAAAAUUACCUCGGGGAGAAAGCACAACGACUCAAAACCUAUGGGA
This is an RNA transcript of Camelus dromedarius (Arabian camel), 529 nucleotides long. RefSeq lists it as uncharacterized. The transcript is spliced from 3 exons. NCBI's taxonomy places the organism in Eukaryota, Metazoa, Chordata, Mammalia, Artiodactyla, Camelidae. The record is from RefSeq and is a predicted model, not a curated record.